UACUAAUAGUUACGGUUACAGCUUGGUGUC
RNAcentral lists this non-coding RNA (30 nucleotides) under Rattus norvegicus (Norway rat). Lineage: Eukaryota; Metazoa; Chordata; Mammalia; Rodentia; Muridae. The record is from RNAcentral.